Molecule: transfer RNA, 63 nt
Filed under: Alitta succinea
Lineage: Eukaryota; Metazoa; Annelida; Polychaeta; Phyllodocida; Nereididae
Description: tRNA-Phe
Rfam family: tRNA
About the family: Transfer RNA (tRNA) molecules are approximately 80 nucleotides in length. Their secondary structure includes four short double-helical elements and three loops (D, anti-codon, and T loops).
Source: RNAcentral
ACUUAUGUAGCUUAACUAAAAGCAUUACAUUGAAGCUGUAAAUAUGACUUAUGUCCGUAAGUA